This 26-nucleotide transfer RNA is filed under the name Doronicum grandiflorum. RNAcentral's name for it is "partial tRNA-Phe". The record is from RNAcentral. Lineage: Eukaryota; Viridiplantae; Streptophyta; Magnoliopsida; Asterales; Asteraceae. RNAcentral also lists the same sequence under 3 other names.
GUCGGGAUAGCUCAGUCGGUAGAGCA